Molecule: ribosomal RNA, 896 nt
Filed under: Colletotrichum gloeosporioides
Lineage: Eukaryota; Fungi; Ascomycota; Sordariomycetes; Glomerellales; Glomerellaceae
Description: LSU rRNA
Rfam family: Eukaryotic large subunit ribosomal RNA
Source: RNAcentral
UAGCAUAUCAAUAAGCGGAGGAAAAGAAACCAACAGGGAUUGCCUCAGUAACGGCGAGUGAAGCGGCAACAGCUCAAAUUUGAAAUCUGGCCCUAGGCCCGAGUUGUAAUUUGCAGAGGAUGCUUUUGGUGCGGUGCCUUCCAAGUUCCCUAGAACGGGACGCCAGAGAGGGUGAGAGCCCCGUACAGUUGGACACCAAGCCUUUGUAAAGCUCCUUCGACGAGUCGAGUAGUUUGGGAAUGCUGCUCAAAAUGGGAGGUAUAUUUCUUCUAAAGCUAAAUACCGGCCAGAGACCGAUAGCGCACAAGUAGAGUGAUCGAAAGAUGAAAAGCACUUUGAAAAGAGGGUUAAACAGCACGUGAAAUUGUUAAAAGGGAAGCGCUUGUGACCAGACUUGCGUCCGGUGAAUCACCCAGCUCUCGCGGCUGGGGCACUUCGCCGGCUCAGGCCAGCAUCAGCUCGCUGUCGGGGACAAAAGCUUCAGGAACGUAGCUCUCUUCGGGGAGUGUUAUAGCCUGUUGCAUAAUACCCUUCGGCGGGCUGAGGUACGCGCUCCGCAAGGAUGCUGGCAUAAUGGUCAUCAGCGACCCGUCUUGAAACACGGACCAAGGAGUCAACCUUAUGUGCGAGUGUUCGGGUGUCAAACCCCUACGCGUAAUGAAAGUGAACGCAGGUGAGAGCUUCGGCGCAUCAUCGACCGAUCCUGAUGUUCUCGGAUGGAUUUGAGUAAGAGCAUAUAGGGUUGGACCCGAAAGAAGGUGAACUAUGCGUGUAUAGGGUGAAGCCAGAGGAAACUCUGGUGGAGGCUCGCAGCGGUUCUGACGUGCAAAUCGAUCGUCAAAUAUGCGCAUGGGGGGCGAAAGACUAAUCGAACCUUCUAGUAGCUGGUUUCCGCG